Non-coding RNA from Macrolepiota fuliginosa MF-IS2, 94 nucleotides. The record is from the annotation of a GenBank genome assembly. Lineage: Eukaryota; Fungi; Basidiomycota; Agaricomycetes; Agaricales; Agaricaceae.
GGCAACAUGGCCGAGUGGUCUAAGGCGCCAGAAUCAGGUUACGUAAUAAGCUGAAUCUGGUCUUCGGGCGUGGGUUCGAAUCCCACUGUUGUCA